UGCUCAAGAAGUCUGUUCUUGAGAAACAGUCUUACACUUCUUGUAACAGAAGUGGCAGUCCAAGGGUCUGAGUCUCACAAGUGAAAGUAUGGCUUGCUGAAGAGCACAGCGGUCUUGUGGCCAGGAAAUGGUGUUUUUUCAUGGUGUGAAACACGUGGCUCUUCAGUUACUGGAAGGAUAGAGAAGGAGGUACUUCAGUGGUGCAGACAAAUGUGGUGCAAGGAAUUUUUCUAUAUGAUUAGAGGCCUCUCCUCAUCAGAUCUUAUCUGGAAAUGACUGAGACUCAUGUACCUUUAAAGAAUCCACUAAAUAGUAGCUGUAAUGUGGAGGAUCACUGACUCCACUCUGACUGUACCACCCUGUAUUUGGAGUCUUGAAAAAAGGAUGUUAUGAAUCUUGUGUGGUACUGGUUGCCUGACCCCCCAGGAGCAGAAGCAGAAAGGCACUAAUUCAUACAGUGCUGAAUAAAUCCGUGAGAAAACCUGGCAGAGAAAAGGAGCUAAAGGUUAGUUGAUCGGAACAAUCUCAACACACACCACCUGUCUGCUCCCCCCUCCCCCUACCAGAUUUGAACCAGCUCUUCUGAAGCCUAGAAGUGCUUUCUAGUAACCCACUGUAUCAGCAAAAGAAAUAAUUCCUAUGGGAAUAAACAGGUAAGGCAGCCAUGACUUUUAUCAGUCAAAAUUACUGGGCCAAAUUUUGCAUAUCCUCCAUUUGUAUUCUGUUAAAUUACUGCUGCCAUCAAAAGGAAUAAUUUUGCUUGAGUCAAAGGACAGUGAUGGCAUGGUGCUGCUGGACUGAGUGAGUGUGUCUGGAUCUGUUUACUACUUGACUGCGGGAGGACCAGCAACACUUGUCUGUCACAUCAGUGAGAAAGGAGCCAUGACUUGUGUUUGCCAAGUGAAAAAAUCACACCAAAUGAUUAGCCAGAAGGACCCAAUAUCACAGCUGAACUGUCAGACAAGAAUUAGAGAAAUAAACAGGACUGCAUGAUUUGUCUGUAUGAUCUACAUUUUAAAAAGACAAUCUGGCAGCAUUUUUAGGAGACUUGGAAAAUGUGAGUUUUUGUCUGUGCUCAUUGUACUCUGGAAAGCUCUCACCAGCCUCUCUCCUCCCUCAGUGCUGCCUGUGAGGAUGGCUCUUUGGGUAAGAACAAGCCCCAGAUGGCAGCAGGUUGAUGGGAUGGCCCAGCAGAAAGGGAGCCAUUCUUGAGCCCUUAGAAGUAGCUUUGCUUAUUCCAGCAGAAGUACAGGAUAGGGCUCUUUUUGUUUAUUUUGGAACAUUGAGGGUAGGUAGGUAUUGUCCAUUGCAAAUUUAAUCUGAAAUAAUAGAAGAGAGAGGGGAGAAACUCUAGCAUAAGGCUGCAACCUUUUAGUCAACUGAAUUAAUGCUCUACUCCAAGUGUCUUUUUCUGAUGGUGGGCUUAGACUACAGUAGGACAGACUGCACACCUCUCCUUUGAUGCUGUUCUAUAUAUAAAGUCUAGAGUUUAGAUUCCCCAAAGGAUCUUAGUACAUUUAGCAGCUUUUUCGAAGUUGUAAGGAAACAGUUGUAGUUUAGUUGAUUUAUAAAAUAUAUGCUUUUAAUUGACUCCU
This is a non-coding RNA of Cyanistes caeruleus (blue tit), 1595 nucleotides long. The record is from RefSeq and is a predicted model, not a curated record. NCBI's taxonomy places the organism in Eukaryota, Metazoa, Chordata, Aves, Passeriformes, Paridae.